CUACCUACGGGAGGCAGCAGUAGGGAAUCUUCCACAAUGAGCGAAAGCCUGAUGGAGCAACACCGCGUGGGUGAAGAAAGUCUUCGGAUCGUAAAACCCUGUUGUUAGAGAAGAAAGUGCGUGAGAGUAACUGUUCACGUUUCGACGGUAUCUAACCAGAAAGCCACGGCUAACUACGUGCCAGCAGCAGCGGUAAUACGUAGGUGGCAAGCGUUAUCCGGAUUUAUUGUGCGUAAAGGGAACGCAGUCGG
Molecule: ribosomal RNA, 251 nt
Filed under: uncultured bacterium
Lineage: Bacteria
Description: partial 16S ribosomal RNA
Rfam family: Bacterial small subunit ribosomal RNA
Source: RNAcentral